AAUCCUGGAGGGCAAACUCGGCGAAAGCCGGGGGCGCAAAGCCACAGGUCUAAGGUUCCCCAAAAGCGCUCGAAGGCAAAGCCACAGGUCUAAGGUUCCCCAAAAGGUUGCCACGGGGAACUAUGACGGCUAGGUUGCAAGG
RNAcentral lists this non-coding RNA (142 nucleotides) under Desulfofundulus kuznetsovii. Its description in RNAcentral is "Desulfotomaculum kuznetsovii c-di-GMP sequence". It matches the Rfam family "c-di-GMP-I riboswitch aptamer". From Rfam's summary of the family: GEMM was predicted in a large-scale screen for bacterial structured RNA regulatory elements. Genes associated with GEMM are involved in a diverse array of functions, including chemotaxis regulation, signal transduction, secretion and chitin. The record is from RNAcentral. Lineage: Bacteria; Bacillati; Bacillota; Clostridia; Eubacteriales; Peptococcaceae.